Molecule: ribosomal RNA, 496 nt
Filed under: uncultured bacterium
Lineage: Bacteria
Description: partial 16S ribosomal RNA
Rfam family: Bacterial small subunit ribosomal RNA
Source: RNAcentral
AUGCACGCUGGCGGCGUGCCUAAUACCUGCAAGUCGAGCGCACGGACGAGAAGCUUGCUUCUCUGAUGUUAGCGGCGGACGGGUGAGUAACACGUGGAUAACCUACCUAUAAGACUGGGAUAACUUCGGGAAACCGUAGCUAAUACCGGAUAAUAUUUUGAACCGCAUGGUUCAAAAGUGAAAGACGGUCUUGCUGUCACUUAUAGAUGGAUCCGCGCUGCAUUAGCUAGUUGGUAAGGUAACGGCUUACCAAGGCAACGAUGCAUAGCCGACCUGAGAGGGUGAUCGGCCACACUGGAACUGAGACACGGUCCAGACUCCUACGGGAGGCAGCAGUAGGGAAUCUUCCGCAAUGGGCGAAAGCCUGACGGAGCAACGCCGCGUGAGUGAUGAAGGUCUUCGGAUCGUAAAACUCUGUUAUUAGGGAAGAACAUAUGUGUAAGUAACUGUGCACAUCUUGACGGUACCUAAUCAGAAAGCCACGGCUAACUACGUG